UACGGGAGGCAGCAGGGGAAUAUUGCACAAUGGGCGAAAGCCUGAUGCAGCUAUGCCGCGUGUAUGAAGAAGGCCUUAGGGUUGUAAAGUACUUUCAUCGGGGAGGAAAAACAAAACUAAUAAUUUUAUUUCUUGACGUUACCCGAAAAAGAAGCACCGGCUAACUCCGUGCCAGCAGCCGCGGUAAUACGGAGGGUGCUAGCGUUAAUCAGAAUUACUGGGCGUAAAGAGCACGUAGGUGGUUUUUUUAAGUCAGAUGUGAAAUCCCUGGGCUUAACCUAGGAACUGCAUUUUGAAACUGAAAUACUAGAGUAUCGUAGAGGGAGGUAGAAUUCUAGGUGUAGCGGUGAAAUGCGUAGAUAUCUGGAGGAAUACCUGUGGCGAAAGCGGCCUCCUAAACGAAUACUGACACUGAGGGUGCGAAAGCGUGGGGAGCAAACAGGGAUUAGAUACC
RNAcentral lists this ribosomal RNA (454 nucleotides) under uncultured bacterium. Its description in RNAcentral is "bacterial SSU rRNA". It matches the Rfam family "Bacterial small subunit ribosomal RNA", at positions 340 to 786 of the family's 1533-position model. The record is from RNAcentral.